AUGGUAGGUGCUAGCGGCGGUGGUGAAGCGCCGACGAUGAGGAGAAGCGAUGCGUGCCUCCUCCUUGGCUUCAUGGCCGUCACCCUUGUUCUCGUUGUCUGCGGGUGGUAUUCAUCUUCUCCGACCGACGGCCCGAGUUUCUCCGUCAAGCUCACGGGCGUGGACGGCCUCGUCCCGCAAGGCGGUGGCGGCCCGGCGGUGAUCCACCCGGCGUUCGACCUUACCCUCCGAGCCCACAACGGCCAGAGCGCCAAGGCCUGCAGGGAGAACGUCACGAUCACGGUGAUGUACGGCAACGUGGUGCUGGGAUGGGCCCGCGUGCCGGACUUCUGCGUCGACGAGUGGGCGUCCAUGGAGAUGAGCGCCGCGGUGUCCAACGCCGACGUAGUUCUCACCGAUGACCUGCGACGUCGCCUGGACUCGGAGCUGCUUGCCGGGGCGCUGGAGCUGGAUGUGGAGACGAGGGUGUGGUUCCCUGAGGGUCAACCUCUCUUUUGGGAGUGCCAAGAUUGCUCGUCCCGGGAGUGCUUGGUAGUGUGCCGAGUAAACCCGGGACAGGCCGGCUACGCACCGUGCCAAACACGCAGGCUAUAUGCCACGCAUUAG
Molecule: ribosomal RNA, 606 nt
Filed under: Triticum aestivum (bread wheat)
Lineage: Eukaryota; Viridiplantae; Streptophyta; Magnoliopsida; Poales; Poaceae
Description: partial small subunit ribosomal RNA
Source: RNAcentral